Molecule: ribosomal RNA, 253 nt
Filed under: uncultured bacterium
Lineage: Bacteria
Description: partial 16S ribosomal RNA
Rfam family: Bacterial small subunit ribosomal RNA
Source: RNAcentral
UACGAAGGGGGCUAGCGUUGUUCGGAAUCACUGGGCGUAAAGGGCGCGUAGGCGGCGCGACAAGUCAGGCGUGAAAGCCCCGGGCUCAACCCGGGAAUUGCGCUUGAUACUGUCGUGCUUGAGGCCGGGAGAGGAUGGCGGAAUUCCCAGUGUAGAGGUGAAAUCCGUAGAUAUCGGGAGGAAUACCAGCGGCGAAGGCGGCCUUCUGGACGGUGACUGACGCUGAGACGCGAAAGCGUGGGGAGCAAACAGG